This 575-nucleotide ribosomal RNA is filed under the name uncultured bacterium. Its description in RNAcentral is "bacterial SSU rRNA". It matches the Rfam family "Bacterial small subunit ribosomal RNA", at positions 938 to 1505 of the family's 1533-position model. The record is from RNAcentral.
GGCGGGUUUUAAUUUGAUGUUACGCGAAAAAACCUUACCAAACUCUUGACAUGUCGGGUCGCGGGGACCAGAAAAUGGACUCCUUCAGUUAGGCUGGACCGAACACAGGUGUUGCAUGGCUGUCGUCAGCUCGUGUCGUGAGAUGUUGGGUUAAGUCCCGCAACGAGCGCAACCCUCAUCCUUAUUUGCCAACAGGUAAUGCUGGGAACUAUAAGGAAACAGCUGGUGAUAAACCAGAGGAAGGUGGGGACGAUGUCAAGUCAUCAUGGCCCUUACGAGUUGGGCUACACGCGUGCUACAAUGGUGGUCACAAUGGGAUGCUAAAGGGCGACCUGGCGCAAAUCCAUAAAAGCCAUCUCAGUUCGGAUUGCACUCUGCAACUCGAGUGCAUGAAGUUGGAAUUGCUAGUAAUCGCGUAUCAGCAUGACGCGGUGAAUACGUUCCCGGGCCUUGUACACACUGCCCGUCACGCCAUGGGAGUUAGCUUUAAUCGAAGCAAGUGAGCUAACCGCAAGGAGGCAGCUUGCCACGUUAGGGUUAAUGACUGGGGUGAAGUCGUAACAAGGUAACCGUAA